UUUAUCUAGAAAAAGCAUGUUUUAUCUUGUUUAGUUUGUUUUUUCUUAGAAUUUUUAUUGGACCGUGCAUCUUGGAAAAUAAUAAUGAGUAAAUUAAACGGCAAUAAGUCUAAAAAGAAUUUACAUCUGUCUCUCUGUCCUCCUUUGCUCCUAUCUCAGCCGCAGCUGUAAAUAUUUAUCUGCGUUUUUCGAGUGAAAGACGUGGACUAACAUACUUAAUCAUAGUUUUUACCGUGGCUUCCUUCCAGGCGUCUGAGCUGUAUGUAAUGUUAAACAGGGCUAGUGGUUCAUUUUGCAAAUCAUCGUUAAUAUUUCAACGUGAAACCAGC
Molecule: non-coding RNA, 329 nt
Organism: Pelobates cultripes (western spadefoot toad)
Lineage: Eukaryota; Metazoa; Chordata; Amphibia; Anura; Pelobatidae
Source: the annotation of a GenBank genome assembly